UUAAGCGACUAAGCGUACACGGUGGAUGCCCUGGCAGUCAGAGGCGAUGAAGGACGUGCUAAUCUGCGAAAAGCGUCGGUAAGGUGAUAUGAACCGUUAUAACCGGCGAUGUCCGAAUGGGGAAACCCAGUGCAAUUCGUUGCACUAUCGUUAACUGAAUACAUAGGUUAACGAGGCGAACCGGGGGAACUGAAACAUCUAAGUACCCCGAGGAAAAGAAAUCAACCGAGAUUCCCCCAGUAGCGGCGAGCGAACGGGGAGCAGCCCAGAGUCUGAAUCAGCUUGUGUGUUAGUGGAACGGUCUGGAAAGUCCGACGGUACAGGGUGAUAGUCCCGUACACCAAAAUGCACAGGUUGUGAACUCGAAGAGUAGGGCGGGACACGUGGUAUCCUGUCUGAAUAUGGGGGGACCAUCCUCCAAGGCUAAAUACUCCUGACUGACCGAUAGUGAACCAGUACCGUGAGGGAAAGGCGAAAAGAACCCCGGCGAGGGGAGUGAAAAAGAACCUGAAACCGUGUACGUACAAGCAGUGGGAGCACCUUCGGGUGUGACUGCGUACCUUUUGUAUAAUGGGUCAGCGACUUAUAUUCUGUAGCAAGGUUAACCGUAUAGGGGAGCCGCAGGGAAACCGAGUCUUAACUGGGCGUUAAGUUGCAGGGUAUAGACCCGAAACCCGGUGAUCUAGCCAUGGGCAGGUUGAAGGUUGGGUAACACUAACUGGAGGACCGAACCGACUAAUGUUGAAAAAUUAGCGGAUGACUUGUGGCUGGGGGUGAAAGGCCAAUCAAACCGGGAGAUAGCUGGUUCUCCCCGAAAGCUAUUUAGGUAGCGCCUCGUGAACUCAUCUUCGGGGGUAGAGCACUGUUUCGGCUAGGGGGUCAUCCCGACUUACCAACCCGAUGCAAACUACGAAUACCGAAGAAUGUUAUCACGGGAGACACACGGCGGGUGCUAACGUCCGUCGUGAAGAGGGAAACAACCCAGACCGCCAGCUAAGGUCCCAAAGUCAUGGUUAAGUGGGAAACGAUGUGGGAAGGCACAGACAGCCAGGAUGUUGGCUUAGAAGCAGCCAUCAUUUAAAGAAAGCGUAAUAGCUCACUGGUCGAGUCGGCCUGCGCGGAAGAUGUAACGGGGCUAAACCAUGCACCGAAGCUGCGGCAGCGACACUAUGUGUUGUUGGGUAGGGGAGCGUUCUGUAAGCCUGCGAAGGUGUGCUGUGAGGCAUGCUGGAGGUAUCAGAAGUGCGAAUGCUGACAUAAGUAACGAUAAAGCGGGUGAAAAGCCCGCUCGCCGGAAGACCAAGGGUUCCUGUCCAACGUUAAUCGGGGCAGGGUGAGUCGACCCCUAAGGCGAGGCCGAAAGGCGUAGUCGAUGGGAAACAGGUUAAUAUUCCUGUACUUGGUGUUACUGCGAAGGGGGACGGAGAAGGCUAUGUUAGCCGGGCGACGGUUGUCCCGGUUUAAGCAUGUAGGCUGGUUGUCCAGGCAAAUCCGGAUAAUCAAGGCUGAGGUGUGAUGACGAGGCACUACGGUGCUGAAGUAACAAAUGCCCUGCUUCCAGGAAAAGCCUCUAAGCAUCAGGUAACAUCAAAUCGUACCCCAAACCGACACAGGUGGUCAGGUAGAGAAUACCAAGGCGCUUGAGAGAACUCGGGUGAAGGAACUAGGCAAAAUGGUGCCGUAACUUCGGGAGAAGGCACGCUGGUGUGUAGGUGAAGCCCCUGCGGGUGGAGCUGAGACCAGUCGAAGAUACCAGCUGGCUGCAACUGUUUAUUAAAAACACAGCACUGUGCAAACACGAAAGUGGACGUAUACGGUGUGACGCCUGCCCGGUGCCGGAAGGUUAAUUGAUGGGGUUAUCCGUAAGGAGAAGCUCUUGAUCGAAGCCCCGGUAAACGGCGGCCGUAACUAUAACGGUCCUAAGGUAGCGAAAUUCCUUGUCGGGUAAGUUCCGACCUGCACGAAUGGCGUAAUGAUGGCCAGGCUGUCUCCACCCGAGACUCAGUGAAAUUGAACUCGCUGUGAAGAUGCAGUGUACCCGCGGCAAGACGGAAAGACCCCGUGAACCUUUACUAUAGCUUGACACUGAACAUUGAGCCUUGAUGUGUAGGAUAGGUGGGAGGCUUUGAAGCGUGGACGCCAGUCUGCGUGGAGCCAACCUUGAAAUACCACCCUUUAAUGUUUGAUGUUCUAACGUUGGCCCCUGACCGGGGUUGCGGACAGUGUCUGGUGGGUAGUUUGACUGGGGCGGUCUCCUCCCAAAGCGUAACGGAGGAGCACGAAGGUUAGCUAAUCCUGGUCGGACAUCAGGAGGUUAGUGCAAUGGCAUAAGCUAGCUUGACUGCGAGCGUGACGGCGCGAGCAGGUGCGAAAGCAGGUCAUAGUGAUCCGGUGGUUCUGAAUGGAAGGGCCAUCGCUCAACGGAUAAAAGGUACUCCGGGGAUAACAGGCUGAUACCGCCCAAGAGUUCAUAUCGACGGCGGUGUUUGGCACCUCGAUGUCGGCUCAUCACAUCCUGGGGCUGAAGUAGGUCCCAAGGGUAUGGCUGUUCGCCAUUUAAAGUGGUACGCGAGCUGGGUUUAGAACGUCGUGAGACAGUUCGGUCCCUAUCUGCCGUGGGCGCUGGAGAAUUGAGGGGGGCUGCUUCUAGUACGAGAGGACCGGAGUGGACGCAUCACUGGUGUUCGGGUUGUCAUGCCAAUGGCACUGCCCGGUAGCUAAAUGCGGAAGAGAUAAGUGCUGAAAGCAUCUAAGCACGAAACUUGCCCCGAGAUGAGUUCUCCCUGAGACUUUAAGUCUCCUGAAGGAACGUUGAAGACGACGACGUUGAUAGGCCGGGUGUGUAAGCGCAGCGAUGCGUUGAGCUAACCGGUACUAAUGAACCGUGAGGCUUAACCUU
Molecule: ribosomal RNA, 2899 nt
Filed under: Klebsiella aerogenes
Lineage: Bacteria; Pseudomonadati; Pseudomonadota; Gammaproteobacteria; Enterobacterales; Enterobacteriaceae
Also listed under: 1 other name
Description: bacterial LSU rRNA
Rfam family: Bacterial large subunit ribosomal RNA
Source: RNAcentral